AGACAUUCUGAUUCUUUCUGUCACCUCAGCAGGGAAGAGUAAAGAUUCACAAAUAUGAAAUCAGGAGGGAAGCACUCCUUUCCACAAAAGGGUCACAGGGGAAGGAGAGCUGAUAGGGGCUGGAGCAGCAGGCCAUUUUGAAGGUUCUGGAGGAUCUGAGUCAGUCUCAAGAGGACAGGUGUGCAGGGAAAUGGUCCCAGCUACUGCCAGGAAACGAGCGGUUCCGAUCCUAAGGCAUCAUGAGAUUGAAAGAUCACCAAUACAAUACA
Molecule: long non-coding RNA, 269 nt
Filed under: Homo sapiens (human)
Lineage: Eukaryota; Metazoa; Chordata; Mammalia; Primates; Hominidae
Description: HSALNT0236199
Source: RNAcentral